AACUUUUUCAAUGGUUCCAUCCCUUCCACCAUUGGAAAUUUAUCCAGUCUUGUGAAGUUAAGUCUUUCUUCUAACCAACUUACUGGAACCCUUCCUCCUGAAAUAGGCAACCUCAAAAUGUUAGAAGAGUUGGACUUGAGCUCAAAUAAUUUGCAAGGAACUCUUCCCAUGUCAAUAACCAAUUUACAAAGCCUCACCCUGUUAUAUGUUUCAUUCAACAACUUCUCAGGAAGCAUUCCAGUUGAUUUUGGACCCAGAUUCUUAACAAAUGUGAGCUUCUCCUACAAUAAUUUUUCUGGAAAGCUGCCUCCAGGAAUUUGUAGAGGUGGGAACCUCAUCUAUUUAACUGCCAAUGUAAAUAAACUCGUGGGACCUAUUCCAGAAAGUCUUUGGAACUGCACAGGACUAACCAGAGUUAGGCUUGAGCAGAAUCGUCUGGAUGGAGAUAUCACGAAUGCAUUAGGCAUAUACCCAGAUCUGCAAUAUAUUGACUUGGGAGACAACCAGCUUUCUGGAAUGUUGACAUCAAACUGGGGAAAGUGCACCAAUCUCUCAAACUUUCGCAUAUCUGCUAAUAGAAUAAAGGGCGGUAUCCCAGCGGAGCUUGGAAAUUUGACAUAUUUGCAGAAUCUCGACAUUUUUGAUAACCAACUGACCGGGAAAAUUCCAGCACAGCUUUUCAGAUCUUCAUUUCUCAUCAGACUGAAUUUGAGGAGGAACCAACUCUCAGAUAAGAUAC
Molecule: long non-coding RNA, 739 nt
Filed under: Citrus sinensis (sweet orange)
Lineage: Eukaryota; Viridiplantae; Streptophyta; Magnoliopsida; Sapindales; Rutaceae
Description: long non-coding RNA (CSIN_LNC002351)
Source: RNAcentral